Molecule: ribosomal RNA, 497 nt
Filed under: uncultured bacterium
Lineage: Bacteria
Description: partial 16S ribosomal RNA
Rfam family: Bacterial small subunit ribosomal RNA
Source: RNAcentral
GAUGAACGCUGGCGGCGUGCCUAAUACAUGCAAGUCGAGCGAACGGACGAGAAGCUUGCUUCUCUGAUGUUAGCGGCGGACGGGUGAGUAACACGUGGAUAACCUACCUAUAAGACUGGGAUAACUUCGGGAAACCGGAGCUAAUACCGGAUAAUAUUUUGAACCGCAUGGUUCAAAAGUGAAAGACGGUCUUGCUGUCACUUAUAGAUGGAUCCGCGCUGCAUUAGCUAGUUGGUAAGGUAACGGCUUACCAAGGCAACGAUGCAUAGCCGACCUGAGAGGGUGAUCGGCCACACUGGAACUGAGACACGGUCCAGACUCCUACGGGAGGCAGCAGUAGGGAAUCUUCCGCAAAGGGCGAAAGCCUGACGAAGCAACGCCGCGUGAGUGAUGAAGGUCUUCGGAUCGUAAAACUCUGUUAUUAGGGAAGAACAUAUGUGUAAGUAACUGUGCACAUCUUGACGGUACCUAAUCAGAAAGCCACGGCUAACUACGUG